This 464-nucleotide ribosomal RNA is filed under the name Vreelandella stevensii. Its description in RNAcentral is "partial 16S ribosomal RNA". It matches the Rfam family "Bacterial small subunit ribosomal RNA", at positions 338 to 795 of the family's 1533-position model. The record is from RNAcentral. Lineage: Bacteria; Pseudomonadati; Pseudomonadota; Gammaproteobacteria; Oceanospirillales; Halomonadaceae.
CCUACGGGCGGCAGCAGUGGGGAAUAUUGGACAAUGGGCGAAAGCCUGAUCCAGCCAUGCCGCGUGUGUGAAGAAGGCCUUCGGGUUGUAAAGCACUUUCAGUGGGGAAGAAAGCCUUGGGGCUAAUACCCUCGAGGAAGGACAUCACCCACAGAAGAAGCACCGGCUAACUCCGUGCCAGCAGCCGCGGUAAUACGGAGGGUGCGAGCGUUAAUCGGAAUUACUGGGCGUAAAGCGCGCGUAGGCGGUCUGAUAAGCCGGUUGUGAAAGCCCCGGGCUCAACCUGGGAACGGCAUCCGGAACUGUCAGGCUAGAGUGCAGGAGAGGAAGGUAGAAUUCCCGGUGUAGCGGUGAAAUGCGUAGAGAUCGGGAGGAAUACCAGUGGCGAAGGCGGCCUUCUGGACUGACACUGACGCUGAGGUGCGAAAGCGUGGGUAGCAAACAGGAUUAGAUACCUGGUAGUC